This 1400-nucleotide ribosomal RNA is filed under the name uncultured bacterium. RNAcentral's name for it is "bacterial SSU rRNA". It matches the Rfam family "Bacterial small subunit ribosomal RNA", at positions 65 to 1435 of the family's 1533-position model. The record is from RNAcentral.
AACUGAUUGAUGGUGCUUGCACCUGAUUGACGAUGGAUCACCAGUGAGUGGCGGACGGGUGAGUAACACGUAGGUAACCUGCCCCGGAGCGGGGGAUAACAUUUGGAAACAGAUGCUAAUACCGCAUAACAACAAAAGCCACAUGGCUUUUGUUUGAAAGAUGGCUUUGGCUAUCACUCUGGGAUGGACCUGCGGUGCAUUAGCUAGUUGGUAAGGUAACGGCUUACCAAGGCGAUGAUGCAUAGCCGAGUUGAGAGACUGAUCGGCCACAAUGGAACUGAGACACGGUCCAUACUCCUACGGGAGGCAGCAGUAGGGAAUCUUCCACAAUGGGCGCAAGCCUGAUGGAGCAACACCGCGUGAGUGAAGAAGGGUUUCGGCUCGUAAAGCUCUGUUGUUGGAGAAGAACGUGCGUGAGAGUAACUGUUCACGCAGUGACGGUAUCCAACCAGAAAGUCACGGCUAACUACGUGCCAGCAGCCGCGGUAAUACGUAGGUGGCAAGCGUUAUCCGGAUUUAUUGGGCGUAAAGCGAGCGCAGGCGGUUGCUUAGGUCUGAUGUGAAAGCCUUCGGCUUAACCGAAGAAGUGCAUCGGAAACCGGGCGACUUGAGUGCAGAAGAGGACAGUGGAACUCCAUGUGUAGCGGUGGAAUGCGUAGAUAUAUGGAAGAACACCAGUGGCGAAGGCGGCUGUCUGGUCUGCAACUGACGCUGAGGCUCGAAAGCAUGGGUAGCGAACAGGAUUAGAUACCCUGGUAGUCCAUGCCGUAAACGAUGAGUGCUAGGUGUUGGAGGGUUUCCGCCCUUCAGUGCCGGAGCUAACGCAUUAAGCACUCCGCCUGGGGAGUACGACCGCAAGGUUGAAACUCAAAGGAAUUGACGGGGGCCCGCACAAGCGGUGGAGCAUGUGGUUUAAUUCGAAGCUACGCGAAGAACCUUACCAGGUCUUGACAUCUUGCGCUAACCUUAGAGAUAAGGCGUUCCCUUCGGGGACGCAAUGACAGGUGGUGCAUGGUCGUCGUCAGCUCGUGUCGUGAGAUGUUGGGUUAAGUCCCGCAACGAGCGCAACCCUUGUUACUAGUUGCCAGCAUUAAGUUGGGCACUCUAGUGAGACUGCCGGUGACAAACCGGAGGAAGGUGGGGACGACGUCAGAUCAUCAUGCCCCUUAUGACCUGGGCUACACACGUGCUACAAUGGACGGUACAACGAGUCGCAAGCUCGCGAGAGUAAGCUAAUCUCUUAAAGCCGUUCUCAGUUCGGACUGUAGGCUGCAACUCGCCUACACGAAGUCGGAAUCGCUAGUAAUCGCGGAUCAGCAUGCCGCGGUGAAUACGUUCCCGGGCCUUGUACACACCGCCCGUCACACCAUGGGAGUUUGUAACGCCCAAAGUCGGUGGCC